CAUGUAGGCGGCAUGACAAGUCUGGUGUGAAAUAUCUCGGCUCAACCGAGAAAACGCACUGGAAACUGUCAAGCUUGAGUAUCGGAGGGGAAGCUAGAAUUCCUGGUGUAGGGGUGAAAUCUGUAGAUAUCAGGAAGAAUACCGGUGGCGAAGGCGAGCUUCUGGCCAGAUACUGACGCUGAGAUGCGAAAGCGUGGGGAGCGAACCGGAUUAGAUACCCGCGUAGUCC
RNAcentral lists this ribosomal RNA (229 nucleotides) under uncultured bacterium. RNAcentral's name for it is "partial 16S ribosomal RNA". It matches the Rfam family "Bacterial small subunit ribosomal RNA", at positions 568 to 796 of the family's 1533-position model. The record is from RNAcentral.